RNAcentral lists this long non-coding RNA (2484 nucleotides) under Pectinophora gossypiella (pink bollworm). Its description in RNAcentral is "uncharacterized LOC126375759". Lineage: Eukaryota; Metazoa; Arthropoda; Insecta; Lepidoptera; Gelechiidae. The record is from RNAcentral.
UUGUCAACUUUGAAAUAUCGAAUGCUCGGAAGAUGAAAAUGCGGUUACGGAGGCACGGUUAUCUCAGAAAUGGUUAUGCUGGAGGGGGAUAUCGUGGAAAUAAUUAUGCCGCAAAUGGUGAUCCCGGGAACGGUUAUCCUGGAUACCCUGGAAAUUAUUAUCCAGGGAAGAGUGCCCUCAGAGCGCCUCCGGCUGGUGGCGGGUCAAUGUCAAGGGGUCAUGAUCCUCCUGAUAACGACGGUGGUGGCCCAGGAGGCGGCCAAGGAAGAACCAGAGAUAUACUAAAAAGAUUGAGACAAUACACAACUCCUAUAGAGCAGCGCUAUAGUCCCAAUUUUGGAUAUGAACCGUAUUGGGAAGGAGGCGAUUGGAUUUUGGAGGACUUUGAACGAGCUAAAGAGAAAGCAACGUCGAAAAAAGUUGUAAAAAUCUGCGGGGAUGACUGUCCCUACAUGUAUAGAGAAGUGGGACAAGUGUGUACCCUGUACCCUUACAACGACCCCGCGUAUUUAGGUCAUAGCUGCGGAUACUACCACUGGCAUUUUAAUUGUUAUGGAUAUUACGAUGACAAACACGAUUACAGAACAUUCCCAACCUAUUGUGAAUUUUUAGACAAAAAAUGUAAACUCAGAAAUGAGAAGUUCGGAAGAAUAAUUUUCAUUCAUGUAGGCAAGUGUCUGAAAGAUGAAGAAGCAAUGCUAGAAAUGAGACCGGAAUGGUUAACUUAUGAUGCUCCUCCAAUGACCAGAUUGUCUACGUACAUCACAGGAAUUUAUAAUAGAUUUGUCUCUUACAAUGUUACUACGGAUUGGCCGUUUUACGAUUACACUACAACCACAUAGAUUACUAUCAGAAUUGUCAAAAGUGAGGAUUCAGGCUUGAAGGACAUGACAAAAUCCUCAUGACAAUAUAAUCAUGGUAUUCUGAAUGCGAGCCAUUGACAUAUAUAUAUAUAUAGGUUGCCUGGAAGAAAUUGCUGCAUGAGCAAUAAGGCCGCCUGUUGUGCUUUUCUGUAUAUGCUGUCCUCAGAACAAUAACUAAAGCAUAGAAGGAAGGCUAAAAUAAGAAUUCAGAAACUAUAAACCGGCUCUCUUCUAGCUUACGACCCAAACUAUGAGUGAGAAAAGGACAAAUGAUUCGCUCUUUGCUUCAUUUUUUCCGAGGUUGUCACAACAUGAAAUGUCAUUUGGACCUAUUGGACUCAUUUUAACUCGGCCAAAUACAUAGUAACAUACAUAAGAAGAUUUUACUUAUAUUUACCGAACUAUUUGACACGGUCGCGUGAACUUUGUUUACGAGUGUCUUGUGUUCAGAUUGUUUUAAGUGAUAAUUUAACAAUAUUUUUCCAAAUAAAUGGAAAGAAGCUUUUAUUUAUAUCAAAUAAUUGAGUGUCUCGACUCUGUGACAUUAUGUCUUGUGUGGUAUGGGGCUGCAGCUCACAUUCAGGAAGAAAAGAAAAUAGCCAACAACUUCUGUCGUUUCAUCGAUUUCCUGUAGACGAUAACAAAGAGAAAGAAUGGAUAAUUCGCAUUAAUAGACGAAAUUGGAUUCCAAAUACAUACAUACAUUGGCCUUAUACGUCUGUUUCAGACGAUUUAUGACGUCAUUGCCUCGAAGAAAUGCACUUUCUUUCUUUUUAUUCCAAAUAAGUACAGCCGUAUUUGCUCGAAACAUUUUACUGCGGAUUCAUUUAUGUGUGUUCCUAAUUCGAAGUGGAGACGUCUUCGAGACGAUGCUAUUCCUACAUUGAACAUUAUAGAUCAGACAGAUGAAAUGGUAAUUACGGCCGAGCACCACACACCCGAAGUCUCGACGGCAAAAGGGACAAAAUUGUGGGUCCGUGUUAAAUUCCCAUAUUUCGCCAGUUUUUGGGUAGCGGCCCACUCGGCAGCCGGCCCUGCAAGCGCAGAUCGCGUCCCACAAUAAAGCACGCCCCCUCUCCUAGGGUAUGAGCGUGAGCCCAUCGGGCCUUUUACCGUCUGUGCGGGUUAGACCCGGCGGUUCCAAUUUGCACGGCACGUCGAUCAACACCAGUGCACGGCGGAUGACAUCAUAAAUAAAUUCGAAUAUUACAAAAUACUUACCGAUGAAACGAUAACAGUUGGCUAUUUUAUUUCCUUCCUGAAUGUGAGCUGCAGCUCCAAACUAAUAUAAACCAGACAAUAUAAUCCAAAAAUGGUUAGAUACUUACCUAUCAGAGACAGAGUCUCCUUUCAUCAAGAAGAAGAUAAUUGCGUCCUACAAAAAUAAAUCUUGUAAAAAAAAUUAUCGACAUUAAUUGUAAGUAAAUUUAAUUUUAUCGACAUAUACUAAAGUGAAACCCAACACUAGGCAAUGAAAAACUUGUGACAACCUACGAAAUUACGAAACAAUUUUUGUAUAUGCGUCUUUGUCUAACAUUACGCCGGUUCCGUAAGAUAAAGUAGAGCAGAAUUAUAGAGUUCUGUUGCUAUUUUAGCCUUCCUUCUAUGCUUUAGUUAUUGU